ACGGCGAGUGACCGGGAAGAGCUCAAAUUUGAAAUCUGGCGUCCUCAGGGCGUCCGAGUUGUAAUCUAUAGAGGCGUUUUCCGUGCCGGACCGUGUCCAAGUUCCUUGGAACAGGAUAUCAAAGAGGGUGACAAUCCCGUACUUGACACGACGACCGGUGCUCUGUGAUACGUCUUCUACGAGUCGAGUUGUUUGGGAAUGCAGCUCAAAAUGGGUGGUGAGUUCCAUCUAAAGCUAAAUAUUGGCGAGAGACCGAUAGCGAACAAGUACCGUGAGGGAAAGAUGAAAAGCACUUUGGAAAGAGAGUUAAACAGUACGUGAAAUUGUUGAAAGGGAAACGAUUGAAGUCAGUCGUGACCGAGAGGCUCAGCCGGUUCUGCCGGUGUAUUCCCCUCGGUCGGGUCAACAUCAGUUUUGUCCGGUGGAUAAGGGCGGUAGGAAGGUGGCACCCUCGGGUGUGUUAUAGCCUGCCGUCGCAUACAUCGGGUGAGACUGAGGAACGCAGCUCGCCUUUAUGGCCGGGGUUCGCCCACGUCCGAGCUUAGGAUGUUGACAUAAUGGCUUUAAACGACCCGUCUUGA
This 581-nucleotide ribosomal RNA is filed under the name Papiliotrema laurentii. Its description in RNAcentral is "partial large subunit ribosomal RNA". It matches the Rfam family "Eukaryotic large subunit ribosomal RNA", at positions 86 to 657 of the family's 3401-position model. The record is from RNAcentral. Lineage: Eukaryota; Fungi; Basidiomycota; Tremellomycetes; Tremellales; Rhynchogastremaceae.